Molecule: ribosomal RNA, 253 nt
Filed under: uncultured bacterium
Lineage: Bacteria
Description: partial 16S ribosomal RNA
Rfam family: Bacterial small subunit ribosomal RNA
Source: RNAcentral
GACGAACCGUGCGAACGUUGUUCGGAAUCACUGGGCUUAAAGGGCGCGUAGGUGGUUUGUCGCGUUGUUCGUGAAAACUCACAGCUCAACUGUGGGCGUGCGGGCGAUACGGGCAGACUUGAGUACUGCAGGGGAGACUGGAAUUCCUGGUGUAGCGGUGAAAUGCGCAGAUAUCAGGAAGAACACCCGUGGCGAAAGCGGCUCUCUGGAACGGUACUGACGCUGAGACGCGAAAGCGUGGGGAGCGAACAGG